Molecule: long non-coding RNA, 575 nt
Filed under: Ananas comosus (pineapple)
Lineage: Eukaryota; Viridiplantae; Streptophyta; Magnoliopsida; Poales; Bromeliaceae
Description: long non-coding RNA (ACOM_LNC039879)
Source: RNAcentral
GAGAGAGAGUUGAGCUGAAAUGCUAUAAGUAAUAAAUGAGUUUCGUUGCCAUGCACUCAUUUAUUUUCGAUGAUCGAGGCUCUAAAUCGACGAUCGAUAUUGUUGAACAUAAUCUAUACCACUUGAAGUAUAUAGAAAAUUUUGAAUUUUUUCAACAUUGCAGGCCUAAUAAUUAAAGAGUUUCAAAAUUUAUAAUUCUAACUAUUAGUAUAAGACGUUUUUCGUUUAACGGCGUAAAGAUAUCCAAACCAGUUGAAUUUUGGUUAAGGAAUUUUUUAAACUAAUUUAAAAUAAGAUUUACACUUUUGAUAUUGAUUAUAAAACUCCUAUAAUCACUUUUUAAAGGAUGUUUAUUUUUUGAGGAUGUUCAUUUUUAGCCGUUCAUUUUUUACUGCCACUUGAUGGACAAGAGAACAAUAUCGAAAAAGUAUGAAAUUUGAUUUCUAAAUGUUUCGAGUGAUAUAAUUCAUGUUCAAUAGUACCGAUUGUCGAUUUGGAGGCUCGAUCAUCGAAAAUAAAUAAGUAAAAACGGAGCUCGUUUGCUGUCGAUAUUAUUCCUUCUCAACUCUAUAUUN